Long non-coding RNA from Paramisgurnus dabryanus, 1050 nucleotides. RefSeq lists it as uncharacterized. The record is from RefSeq and is a predicted model, not a curated record. NCBI's taxonomy places the organism in Eukaryota, Metazoa, Chordata, Actinopteri, Cypriniformes, Cobitidae.
UACUUAAAGAGCACCUAUUAUGGGAUACACGUUUUUAAACAUCCUUUUGUGUGUAAGUGUGCAUUAGUACAUGCUAACGAUAUUCAAAAAGUACAUACCUCAAAGAAAACGAUGACGCGAGUUAUCGUCUCUAACGUUCGAGGACUACAAAAAACACUCGGAUUGUAGGCAACAGUUUACUUCCUGGGAUUAGUGACGUAGAUAAGACCAACAUUAUCAUAGUUCAGCCCUCUCUGCUUUGCUUGGGUACGCCCUCAAAGACGAGGGUGGGGAGCGCCGAGUCAGAAGAGAGCUAAAAUGGCGGAGGUUGGGAGUCCCUGCUUUUACUCUGUUUGCAAACUCUUGUUUCAUUGUUUAAGCGAUUAAAUCUCUCGAGUAGACGCUGUCUCUUUAGAUGCGAGGGCAAAAUAGCACUUUAUGGACUUACACAGAGGACAUCAUGUUUAAUACGGUUCCGGAAAAAUCCAGUCAGAAGUUGUUCACGGAGUUUUCACAAUAACUGCUUCUCAUGAACCAAAGCUGGAUUUGCGCGAGGUCUCCUCUUGAAAGUUGGAUUACUGUGCACUUCUGGAUCACAGGCUAUUCGCAGCUGGACACAUCCUUCUACACUGUAUGCAAACAUGCAACAUCAUAACACACAGUACAAGGAGUCAGACUGGCAUAUGAGGAGCAAAGGAACCCAGGCAGUAGCAUCGUUUCACAUGUUUCCAUCACCAUCAUCAGUGGAUGCCUUUGCCGUCCGUAGCCUGAGAUUUCAGAUUUGCAGCAAAAAUUUUUUGAUUUUCUCAUUUAUUGGAAUGCUGUGCAGGUAUGUGUACCUUGCAGCCAUCCAUUACAAUGUCACCAAGCCGUAACAAAAGCAGGAGGGAAAGUACAAGGCUAUGUUCCCAAAACACACAAGUGACAUACCUUAUGUGGAGGAUGUGAUCAGGCUUGUGUUUGAUGAGGUAUUUGAAGAUAAGCUGAAGGAAACCCCGAUUCCAAUGGACCUGGCAUCACAGUUUGAGAGACCUUCAAAGGAGGACGUGAUUGCAUGCCAUCUUCAGUGCA